This 391-nucleotide unclassified non-coding RNA is filed under the name soil metagenome. RNAcentral describes it as "partial contains 5.8S ribosomal RNA, internal transcribed spacer 2, and large subunit ribosomal RNA". The stretch from base 1 to 122 matches the Rfam family "5.8S ribosomal RNA", at positions 35 to 154 of the family's 154-position model. The record is from RNAcentral.
GAUGAAGAACGCAGCGAAAUGCGAUACUUGGUGUGAAUUGCAGAAUCCCGUGAACCAUCGAGUCUUUGAACGCAAGUUGCGCCCGAAGCCAUUAGGCCGAGGGCACGCCUGCCUGGGCGUCACACGUCGUUGCCCCCCCAUCCACUCCUUCGGGAUUGCGGGGGGCGGAUGAUGGCCUCCCGUGCGCCUCGUCGCGCGGUUGGCCUAAAUGCCAAGUCCUCGGCGACGCACGCCACGACAAUCGGUGGUUGCGAAACCUCGGUUGCCAGUCGUGUGCGGUCGUCGCGCAUCGAGGGCUCGAAAAAAUUGCCGGGCUCCGGCUCGGCUUUCAACGCGACCCCAGGUCAGGCGGGGUUACCCGCUGAAUUUAAGCAUAUCAAUAAGCGGAGGA